Molecule: ribosomal RNA, 390 nt
Filed under: uncultured bacterium
Lineage: Bacteria
Description: bacterial SSU rRNA
Rfam family: Bacterial small subunit ribosomal RNA
Source: RNAcentral
GACGAACGCUGGCGGCGUGCUUAACACAUGCAAGUCGAGCGGUAAGGCCCUUUCGGGGGUACGACGAGCGGCGAACGGGUGAGUAACACGUGGGUGGCCUGCCCUCCAGCUCUGGGAUAAGCCUGGGAAACCGGGUCUAAUACUGGAUAUGACUCCAUGACGCAUGUUGUGGGGUGGAAAGCCUUGUGCGGCUGAGGAUGGGCCCGCGGCCUAUCAGCUUGUUGGUGGGGUGANGGCCUACCAAGGCGACGACGGGUAGCCGGCCUGAGAGGGCGACCGGCCACACUGGGACUGAGACACGGCCCAGACUCCUACGGGAGGCAGCAGUGGGGAAUCUUGCGCAAUGGGCGAGAGCCUGACGCAGCGACGCCGCGUGAGGGAUGACGGCCU